AUUCCAGCUCCAAUAGCGUAUAUUAAAGUUGUUGCAGUUAAAAAGCUCGUAGUCGGAUUUCGGGUGCUGCCCGGUGUAGCCACGGCGAACGCCGGGUGGGGCCUUCCUUCUGGGAUUCCUCUGCACUCUUUACUGAGUCGGAUGGCGUUCCAGGACGUUUACUGUGAAAAAAUUAGAGUGUUUAAAGCAGGCGAUUGCCGUGAAUACAUUAGCAUGGGAUAAUAGAAUAGGACUUUGGAACUAUUUUGUUGGUUUGGGUUACGAAGUAAUGAUUAAUAGGGACGGUUGGGGGCACUCGGAUUCCGUUGUCAGAGGUGAAAUUCUUAGAUUAGCGGAAGACGAACAGCUGCGAAAGCGUCUGCCAAGGACGUUUUCAUCA
RNAcentral lists this ribosomal RNA (379 nucleotides) under Rhodella sp. RNAcentral describes it as "partial small subunit ribosomal RNA". It matches the Rfam family "Eukaryotic small subunit ribosomal RNA", at positions 582 to 975 of the family's 1831-position model. The record is from RNAcentral. Lineage: Eukaryota; Rhodophyta; Rhodellophyceae; Rhodellales; Rhodellaceae.